AGGACGAACGCUGGCGGCGUGCCUAAUACAUGCAAGUCGAACGGUCUUUCUAUGGAAGCUUGCUUCCACUGAGAAGAUAGUGGCGAACGGGUGAGUAACACGUGGGUAACCUGCCCAUAAGAGGGGGAUAACAUCCGGAAACGGAUGCUAAUACCGCAUAGUUUUCUUGAUCGCAUGAUCGGGAAAGGAAAGACGGCCUUUGUGCUGUCGCUUAUGGAUGGACCCGCGGCGUAUUAGUUAGUUGGUGAGGUAACGGCUCACCAAGACGAUGAUACGUAGCCGGACUGAGAGGUUGAACGGCCACAUGGACUGAGAUACGGCCCAGACUCCUACGGGAGGCAGCAGGUGGGGAAUUAGUUGGGCAAGUGGGACGAAAGCCUGAACCCCAGCAACGCCGCGUGAAGGAAGAAGGCCGUUCGGGUUAGUAACUUUCUUUUAUGGAGGGACGAAGGACGUGACGGUACCUCAUGAAUAAGCCACGGCUAACUACGUGCCAGCAGCAGC
RNAcentral lists this ribosomal RNA (504 nucleotides) under uncultured bacterium. RNAcentral's name for it is "bacterial SSU rRNA". It matches the Rfam family "Bacterial small subunit ribosomal RNA", at positions 26 to 518 of the family's 1533-position model. The record is from RNAcentral.